This 1038-nucleotide ribosomal RNA is filed under the name uncultured bacterium. RNAcentral describes it as "bacterial SSU rRNA". It matches the Rfam family "Bacterial small subunit ribosomal RNA", at positions 336 to 1393 of the family's 1533-position model. The record is from RNAcentral.
CUCCUACGGGAGGCAGCAGUGGGGAAUAUUGGGCAAUGGGGGAAACCUGACCCAGCAACGCCGCGUGAAGGAAGAAGGCCUUCGGGUUGUAAACUUCUUUUACCAGGGGCGAAAGAAAUGACGGUACCUGGAGAAAAAGCAACGGCUAACUACGUGCCAGCAGCCGCGGUAAUACGUAGGUUGCGAGCGUUGUCCGGAUUUACUGGGUGUAAAGGGCGUGUAGGCGGAGAUGCAAGUUGGGAGUGAAAUCCAUGGGCUCAACCCAUGAACUGCUUCCAAAACUGUAUCCCUUGAGUAUCGGAGAGGCAAGCGGAAUUCCUAGUGUAGCGGUGAAAUGCGUAGAUAUUAGGAGGAACACCAGUGGCGAAGGCGGCUUGCUGGACGACAACUGACGCUGAGGCGCGAAAGCGUGGGGAGCAAACAGGAUUAGAUACCCUGGUAGUCCACGCUGUAAACGAUGAAUACUAGGUGUGGGAGGACUGACCCCUUCCGUGCCGCAGUUAACACAAUAAGUAUUCCACCUGGGGAGUACGACCGCAAGGUUGAAACUCAAAGGAAUUGACGGGGGCCCGCACAAGCAGUGGAUUAUGUGGUUUAAUUCGACGCAACGCGAAGAACCUUACCAGGACUUGACAUCCAACUAACGAAGUAGAGAUACAUUAGGUGCCCUUCGGGGAAAGUUGAGACAGGUGGUGCAUGGUUGUCGUCAGCUCGUGUCGUGAGAUGUUGGGUUAAGUCCCGCAACGAGCGCAACCCCUAUUGUUAGUUGCUACGAAAGAGCACUCUAGCGAGACUGCCGUUGACAAAACGGAGGAAGGCGGGGACGACGUCAAAUCAUCAUGCCCCUUAUGUCCUGGGCUACACACGUAAUACAAUGGUGGAAAACAGAGGGAAGCAAAGCCGCGAGGCAGAGCAAAACCCUAAAAGCCAUCUCAGUUCGGAUUGCAGGCUGCAACUCGCCUGCAUGAAGCUGGAAUUGCUAGUAAUCGCGGAUCAGAAUGCCGCGGUGAAUACGUUCCCGGGCCUUGUACACACCGC